ACGAUACUAGCUUGCUAGUAGGCGUCGAGUGGCGGACGGGUGAGUAACGCGUAGGAAUCUACCUGAUAGUGGGGGAUAGCCCGAAGAAAUUCGGAUUAAUACCGCAUAAUCUAUUCGUAGUAAAGUGGGGGACUUUCGAGCCUCACGCUAUCAGAUGAGCCUGCGUAAGAUUAGCUAGUUGGUAGGGUAAAAGCCUACCAAGGCGACGAUCUUUAGCUGGUCUGAGAGGAUGAUCAGCCACAUCGGGACUGAGACACGGCCCGAACUCCUACGGGAGGCAGCAGUGGGGAAUAUUGGACAAUGGGGGCAACCCUGAUCCAGCCAUGCCGCGUGUGUGAAGAAGGCCUUCGGGUUGUAAAGCACUUUCAGUCAGGAGGAAAGGUUAGUAGUUAAUACCUGCUAGCUGUGACGUUACUGACAGAAGAAGCACCGGCUAACUCCGUGCCAGCAGCCGCGGUAAUACGGAGGGUGCGAGCGUUAAUCGGAAUUACUGGGCGUAAAGCGUACGCAGGCGGUUUGUUAAGCGAGAUGUGAAAGCCCCGGGCUCAACCUGGGAACUGCAUUUCGAACUGGCA
Molecule: ribosomal RNA, 575 nt
Filed under: uncultured bacterium
Lineage: Bacteria
Description: bacterial SSU rRNA
Rfam family: Bacterial small subunit ribosomal RNA
Source: RNAcentral